RNAcentral lists this long non-coding RNA (2305 nucleotides) under Nicotiana tabacum (common tobacco). RNAcentral's name for it is "long non-coding RNA (NTAB_LNC002435)". Lineage: Eukaryota; Viridiplantae; Streptophyta; Magnoliopsida; Solanales; Solanaceae. The record is from RNAcentral.
AACAACAAGUAAUCCAAAGCUUCAGUUGCAUAUUUUUUAACUUGUUGCUUGUUACUGUAAGGUUGUCUCCUCAUCUGCCUGUUGUACUUCACAGUUGCCCAGUUUGUGAUCAAGUUGUCUAGUUUUGUAGGUUGUUAUUGCAUACCUUGUUCGACUCAACAAUGUAUGAACCAUUUAAUACCUUGACGGAAGACCUGAUGGUGCUGCUGCAACACAUGGUUUAGAGUGAAGUAAUACUUGAGUUACGACGACUAACAUUUUCAAGUGACCAACCUGUAAAAAAGUUGUAAAUGAUAUAAUAUCACCCCGUCCUUGUAAAAGGUGUUUUUCAGUCUUUGGUAUGUUGUGAAGCAGCUAACUCUUUUUCUCCCAAAAGUAAUUAUAUAUUGUCCGUGAAGACAGACAAUACCCAAGAGGUACGCAUGGCGGUCAAAGUUGAGGCAUCUACAUUUUUGUUGCGAAACCCAAACAACAACAACGACGACCCAGUGAAAUCCCACUAGUGGAUUCUGGAGAGGGUAGUGUGUACGCAAACCUUACCCCUACCCCGAAUGAGUAGAGACGCUGUUUCUGAAAGACUCUCGGCUCAAGAAGACAAAAAGAGACAAUAUCAGUAUCACCAAUAGAAACCAUAGGAAAAAUAACAUCAUGGAAAUGAGAAAGUAGAUGCAAAGCAAACGCGAUAGACAGUACAUAGACCCGGUACUAUAGUAAACAAAGGAGUAGUAAGACACACCAUUGUUGCGAAACCCAAUGAGACCUUAUUUGUAGCUAAUGAGAAUACAGUAACAAUGCAAACAUGAUGCCAGUCAACUUACUGCUAAUAAUAAUAUACAUAAAAUAGAAAAGAGAACAAUUUACUCUUUCAAGCAUAAACUUUAAGAAAAGCUAUUAGUAAAAUCUUUGCUCUUUUUUGGAACUCGAAAUUAAGGCUAUUAUAAUCUUUCACUAUUAAUAUUUUUUUCUAAUAUAUACAUAAGUAAGCAAAUUACUGAUUCCGCUUCUUUCAAGUUCAUGAAAGUUUUAAACAGGGAUUAGUGAUGUGGUGACUGAAAUUGGACUACAUGCAGCUUAUGAUCACCAAUAGAGAGGUUUUAAAGUAACAUUGACAAGUGUAAUUUGUGAAAAGCAUAAGCAUGUAAAACUUCCUACCUCCAGCUUAACAUUUAAGACCAUCUCGAAUUGCUUGACAAUCUCUCUCUGAUGACAUCUUGGUCGAUUUCUGCCCUCAAUAUUGAGAUUGGAACCUUAAUAACUGAUCAUCACGUCCGAUCCUUUUCCGGACCCCGCACAUAGCGGGAGCUUAGUGCACGGGCUGCCCUUUUACAAUAGAUUAACAACCUAAGGCUUCAGAAGCAAAAACGACCAAAAUCAAUAAAUUAUGAAAACUGUCUUGAUACUGCACUAAAUUAUGAAAUUAUGUUCUAAAUUGAGAAGUAGAAGUGAACUAUCAUGGCAAACAUGAUAUUUUUGAUAUAUUGAACCGAAUAAAUGUUUAAAACCAUUCCUCCUACAGUGCCUUCAAGAACGACAAUCUUUUCUACUAAACAUUUAGUACCAUGGAAACACUUGAGGGAAAAUCUUUUUAGACCAAACUAACCGAAAAAAGGUAAAUGUGACACAGUAGUACAACUAUAUGAUAACCUUUUAUCUGGUCAAACUCGGCAAGAAGUGGAACUUGGUAAAGAAGAAAGACAACAUAAAAAUAAAAAUGAAAGUGUAAAGUAACCUAAGUUCAUUUGAAAAACAAAAAUGACAUAACUCACUUAACUCCCUUACCUCUGUUGGAAUAAAAUAAGACAAGCAGCACAGCAUCCUAAGCAAUUGGUAUGAAGUUGAGCAGCUCUUGUUAAGCAACAUAAUUUACUUUGUGAAAGAGGCCACAUGAAUGCUUAAUGAAGACCCAAAAAGAUGCCAAAUAUUCAUAUACAAAUGAACUUCAUUUGGAAUCUAAAAUAUUACAUACCUAGAAAUUAGUACAUUACUGGUAUGAUGAGAAAGUCGCUGGCUUUUUAAGUUAGCUCUUUUAGCUUGCAGUUGCAAUAAAAUGAUUGUUUUCUCUCUGACGAUCUCCGACGACAUUUGUGCAUAUCUAAUACGACGUCACAUAUUUCUAUCAGCAAGUCGUUGUUCCUCAGUAUACCGUAAUCUAUGCAAUCCAGUGUCUUUGCUUGUUGACACUCCAGUUCCAAGCAAUUUUUUAUUUUGUUAAGUAAUUUUUACAAUUUGGUUUAAUUCUAAAAAACUUUACAUUAGAUAGAUACAUACCUCUAUUUGUAGAAACUACUGGAAUUGGAGAAUUUCU